Molecule: long non-coding RNA, 23530 nt
Filed under: Eucalyptus grandis
Lineage: Eukaryota; Viridiplantae; Streptophyta; Magnoliopsida; Myrtales; Myrtaceae
Description: long non-coding RNA (EGRA_LNC007151)
Source: RNAcentral
GGUCCGGUCCCUCCAGCUCAGUCCAUGCCUAUGCAAGGUCACAACCCACCACCGUACAUGCAACCGGGAACUGUGCCUUUCCAGAUGGGCCCUCAGAUGAUGCACGGCGCGGGCCACCCUGGUUUGCCGCAUCCGCCACCAAUGCCUCCAUAUCAGUCACAAUAGCACUUCGUUCUUCUCUUGGCGCCAAAGGUGUGAUAGCCCUUAGUUGAUGCAAUUCCCUUGGGCCUGAAGCUCUGGUGGUAUCCUUUUCUUAGUAAAUUUUUUUGGGGAGAUGGGUGUGGAGCUCGUGCUAUGAUUAUGAUACUAUGUUUGGGAACUGUAACUUGCCAUUUGAUUCGGAGGUUUUAGAUAUCUACUUGUUCAUCAUAGAGAUGAUUGACUUUUUGCACCAAUUCGUGAACUUGUAUAUGAGUUGGAUUGGAUCUCUCUCUCUCUCUCCCUCCCUCCCCCCCUUGUGGCUGGAUGAAAGUGACAAUUCGACUAUCCGGUCAAGCAUCGAGAGGAACUGAGUUAAGCUGAUAUACAAUUGCUGUCAAAUUUCGUUGGAUGUGGCGAGUCAAAUAUUUGGAGCAAUCCCACAAGAUGAAAUUAGUUACUGUCAUCCGUUGAUUAUUUCUAUGUUUUAUUCUAACCAUCGUUGGCCGAAACAUCACCACUGCCAUGAAGGUUAACUACAAUCUAUAAAUAUUGUCAAAACAGCAGCCGCCACCUGCCAUCAACACCUAACCACUACAAAAAUUACGUGUUAUUCCUACCUGGGACGUUGCAGCUGCCGUCGUUGUCAGCAGCCAACUUCUACUCUUUAGAAUUUGACGAGGGAAAAACAGAAAGAAUCUUGCAUUUGACAAGCACGUCAAGAUGUUGUCCUGCAGAUUUUGUUUCUAAGUGAAAUGAAAGUCAUGAAAAGACCAUCUAGACCAGAAAACAUAAGUUGGUGAAAUCAGUGUCAAACGGUCUUCUUCACUUCAAUCUCUAUGUAUGUGCUCCUUCCUUUUUCUUGUUAAUGCCUUGGAACACGACGAUGGCGAAAGUUUUUUUAGAAAGAUGCGCAGAGGCUGCAAGGGAUUUUACAUUCAUGUCCCGGAAGUAGGAAGUUUCCUUUAUUCCCAAUACAAGCAAAUGAAGACCUAAAAAAGCCAAAUUCAUGCGAUCUUCAACGUGAGAAAAGUCAAGGCAAUAGGAGCAUAGUAUUACUAAUGUCCUGUGUCUCGACUUUUUACAUGAAUGACAAACCACAGCCACAGGAAUUGUGGUUUAACUAUUCUCGAGUCAAAAUAUGAAAGAACAAAUGAAUGGUGAAAUCCUCUAACUUAGAAACUGUCCCCUUCCGUCUGCAACUUCUGUCAUUUACAUAGACAAAAAGUAGCCUUCACACCUUGGUAGCACUCAACAUGAGCGUCGAUCCAUGACUUGCAGCUUCCACACUUGAUGCCAAGUUGUGUAGGUUUUCAUUUUUGGUGCCUAGGAUCACACUGAUGCCGGAGUUCACUAGAGCUCGGAGUGCUUCAGGGUUGGGAUCGUAGAACCACAUUGUCCCAAUAUUGUGAUUCUUGUAGAGCUGUAUCACCUCAGCCAGACUAGGCAGGUUGUCUCCUUGCAUUCCAUAGCAAACACCAAAGGCAGGCUGUUGCAGUGAGAAUUUGGCUGAGGACAGAUGCCAAAAUCAACAUCAGGAAGACUCUGCGAAGUGAUGCCAUUUCCUGGACUCCCUUUCCUGUUUCCACAUUCAUGUAGAGUGAAACAUUAGGAAGACAUUUAAAUUUUAACAGAUUGCAACAGGAGAAGGUUCAAUCAAAAUGAAACCCAUGGUUUGGAAGCAAUCAGUGCUGAAGCUACUUAUCAAUACACGUCUCAAAAUUCCGUCCCCUUAGAGAUGCGAAAUUAUGCAUAUAUGCACCAGAAAGACUAAUCCAUGUGAGGAUAGAACUAUGAUCAAUGUUUAGCUGGUUAUUUAAUUUAUGCAUAAGCUAACGAGAUCAAUCUAUGAUCAUCUCUCUCUAUAUUAAUGACUUGAUCUCACAAAAUAAGGAGAAAAUGUCAGGAUUUGUAAGCAAGAUAUUUCAUUGCAAUGACUCGCUGAUACAAGCUACUAAUAGAAAGGAUAUGCUGAAAAGAAGUUUGUCUCUCGGUGGGAGAGAGAGAGAGAGAGAGAGAGAGAGAGAGAGAUUCCCAAGAUUUAAAACAUUUCAAGCCUCUACAUAAUGUGCAAUGCAAUCGCUUAAAGCACAAGUAAAGCAUUCAAAUGACUCAUAAGACGUGCUAUUCCAUCUCUUUUCAACUGAUAAAUUGCAAGACAAAAUUGCAAAAAGUUCCUAGGCAGCCUCCCGCGGUGACCAAACAAACUUCUGCGAAGAAAAAUGAAGCGAGACUUUGUCAUUUAAACAGGCAAAUCAUUAAACACAAGCUCAUUUUUCACAGGGAAUACUCAUGAUUAAAGAGUUGGUAAUGUAACCGUCUCCUCCAGUCCUUUCUCACUUUUCCACUGUUCAGCAUAUGAAACAUAAAUCUCAGGGCAAAUCUCCCUCAAUGACACCUUUAAAAUGGAAAAUCCUCAUAUCCUAUCCACUGGGGAAGGAAAAAGGUUAGGUAAGAAAUGAAUUCCACUCAUCUUUCAACUUAGGAAAUCACCAAAAUGGUCAAUCUCAAAAGGGCCAACCAAGUAGAAAGCAAAAGCAUUUGACAACGAAGCAAUUGCGUAAUAUCCAUCAUGUCUCUUCAAAGCUUUCUCUAUGAGGUCCCACCCUGCCAGUAGGUUGAACAUUUUCUUUCCCAACUAUGCUAGUUUAAGUUUACCCGAACAUGGGGUUCCAGAAGUAUAAACUAAGAUUGAUUCGAGCUGCGAUUUAUUUAUUGAAAAGCAAUGCGAAUACUAAACUUUCGAAGGCAGAAAACUCAUUAAGGGAAACUCUUCUGCUGGAACUAAUGAAGGUAAGGCAAUCCAUGAACUAACUGGCUCGAAUGGCAUUUAUGGCAACCUGGCGAUAAUGCUCGACCAUAUCCUGUAUCUCAAAGUGGUUCAAAGCUCUAGGUUUGGGAUAAAUGGCAUGAGAUCCAUCCGGCGUCAAGAUCCUCCACCUCUGACUUAUUGGCUUGUCUGUCGACGACAAUGGUGCAGCUCCCCCAGGGCUGAUAGACUGAUCAAUUCAAUGUGUUCAAAACGGGAAUUGGUAAGCACAUCGCAAAAAACAACAUAUGUUUUGGGAAAGGAAAUGUUAUGCAGACUUUCGUGACCAAAAAAUUAGAGGAAGUGGUCAUAAAUGGCAGUGCAAUGAUCAUAGCGAAAUUUGAGUUAUCUAUGAAACCUAGCAUAGACUCCGCAACUUCCAGAUAUGUGAUUAGUUUAGUACAGUUCGUUCAGAUGCAAAAAGCCGGAAAAGAACAGGCUACAAACGCACAAAGCAAAAUAUCGAUGCAGAGAAUCCACCAUCACCAACGAUCUCAUGUGCUUAUUAUGGGGGCAGGGGCCGACGGCUUGACGCCUCGGUGGUGAAUGCUGUAGAGAACGUGUACCUUGAUGGGAGGCACGGCCAACGUGCCAAAGUUGACAGGGUUACAGAUCUAAUUGGAAAUCGCCAAAAUGGUCAAUCUCAAAAGGGCCAACCUUGCUUUCUACAGCCCCAUGUCCUUUCUGGUGCUGAAUUGGUGCUCACUGUCACUGCUCAGCAAAUUGCAUUCUUUACUAAGCCCAUGAUCUGUAUUACCUGACCAGAACCACAAGACAGAGAAGUGGUCGGGUGGUGGGUGUGAGGCGAUCGGGCGGGAACGUUCCAGCUUACAUGACAAGCCGGUGCCGGAUCUCGAGCCGGAGGGGGGGCGCGGUGGUUCGCCGGUCACACGCUGGUUCGCCGCGAAGAGAGGAGGACAGACAGAGACGUAAGGGGAGAGAAGGAGCAGGGGACAGACGAGUUGGGGGCCAGAUCCAGAGCCAGAGAGACGAUGCGGUGGUUCGCCGGUCAGAAAGAGGGAGGUCGCACGCUGGUCGGUUGCUCGCGGUCCUCUCGCCGGUAUCCACCUGGUUCGUCGGUUGCUCGCGGUGCUUCGCCCGGUCGGAAAGAGGGAGGGUAGAGAGAGAGAGGGAGUUCGUCGGACAGAGAGAGCGAGGGGAGAGAGAGAGAGUGAGGCGUGAAGAAAGAAAAGCAGGAUCGAAAUAUUUUCGAAUUCGCGCCUCUUUUUCUCUCCAGAACGUGGGUCCCACGAGGACACGUGUCGCGCUCCCACCACCUUCUUGUUUGUCACGCUGGAGCAUAAGACGUACCUAAUAUUUUCUCGUUCACAAGUAUUGAAAAAAAAGAAGAAGAAGGUUGACCAAGUCAACCAAGGGAAAGGAAAAGGGGACGCUCGGCUCCUUAAAUUGAAAGCUCGCACGGAAAGAAAAUGAGAGAAUAGAGGAAGAAGAAGAAGAAGAAGGCUCUUAACUGGCCGACCCCUCUGGCAAUGGGGGGCGGCGGCAGUGGCGGAGGAGCUGCCCUUUUCUUUUUUUCUUUUUUUAACAGUUUUAAAAAAAUGAAUUUUAGUUUUUAAAUAUAAUUUUUUUUAAAAUUGAAUAAAAAAUAUUUUAAAAAGCCAGAUGGAAAAUAAAAAAUCAUUUAAAAUGCCACGUCAGCAUUUUCCGUCAAUAAAAUUGACGAUGUUAACUUUAGGAUUCAAUUGAAUCAUUUUGACAAGUUUUAGAAUUUAAUUGCAUUUUUUACAAAUUUUAGGAUUCAAUUAUAUUUUCAUGACAAGUUUUAGGACUUUUACUAUCACGCCCCGAUCCUCGGGCAUGCACACAUCCUUCUAAUUAGUCGAUUUUAAAAUGCGAUAUCACAGGACUACGUAUCGCCAACCCUUCCUUUUUUAUUACGCAUGCGGAAGUAGUUAUAAAUCCCCAGACAAUAAAACAAUGGGAUAGAAAAAGCAGGGCUAUAAUUUUCAUAUUGAAAUCCACAACCAUACUUUUAUACAGAGCAUAAUUCAAAGAGCUUCACAAAACUAUACAGACUUUCUAAUUUCACUUUAUUCACAUCAAAACAAGAUUCCUAAAAGAGGAUGGGACCUCAUUCCUCAUCCGAUAGUACUCAGGAUCCCUUUCUGGAUCAUCUCCUUCUUCAAAAAUCUUUAUUCUCCUCAGGUUUCACUUCAGUAUUCUCCUUUUCCAAUUCCUCCUCAUCGGGUUCAUCUAUGGGCCUGAAAUGUUGUCUCACAACCGGGAUGAGAUUACGUCUCAGCAAGUUUUACCCCACUAAGGCCCAAUUAGUAAACCAUUAUACUAUAGGCUACCUAAACACGCACAGGUCAAAAGACGUACCUUGGCAUCAAUCUCAACCUGUAAUUUAAGGUUAUAUAUAGAUGCUUCAUAUAUCUCAAUGAACAAUCAGUCAAAUCACAGUUCAAUCGACUUAGUCGAUUACAUGUUAGUCGGAUCAUUUCUGGGUCGUUUCAAUUAUUUCAUCUCAAUUCCCAAUUACGAACCACAGUCCUCAGGUCACAACUUAAGCAUAGGUGGAAGACACAGUCCCACUUGACAACUUUCAAUAUUUAGUGGCUUUAUGGUCCCACCCGACCACUUUCAAUAUUCAAUGACUUUAUAGUUCCACUCGACCACUUUCAAUGUUCAAUGUAUUUACGAUCCCACUCGACCACUUUCAAUAUUCAAUGGCUUUACGGUUCCACUCGACCAAUUUCAAUGUUCAAUGGCUUUACGGUCCUAUUCGACCACUUUCAAUAUUCAAUGGCUUUACGGUCCCACUCAACCACUUUACCACGACUCACGAUAUUUCACUUUGUAAUUAAAUUCCUCAACCAGAUAAUCAAAUCAACCCAAUAGGAACAUAUCCUUAGAUUUCAUAAUUAAUUUAAUUUGGUACGAUUCGAAGCUCAAUUAAAUAAACAGACUGCGAUCAGCACGAAAUUCCGAUCAUCGGACAUCUCAGCCUUAAUUUCUGAAAAAUAAUUAAUUAAUUAAUUAAUUUCGAAAAGUAAUUAAUAAAUAUUAAAAAUUCAAUUUAGCUCAAAAUAAAGCCCAAUUAAAUAAAUGGACUUCACCACGAUCACCAGCAUAAAAUUCCGGUCACUAGCCAUCCCAGUUGAAUUUCUGGAAAAUAAUUAAUUAAUUAAUUAAUUUCGAAAAUUAAUAAUUAAUUACUAAAAAUCCAAUUUAGGCCCAAAUUGCCUAAUUGAAGCCCGCUAAGGGUUGGAAAAAAAUCCCAAGAUGCUUUCAAUAAAUAAUAGACUACGUCUACUUGCUAAUUGAGCAAUCAAAAUGUCUAACAUGCAUUACAAUUGUCUAAUAAUCACUAAUCUAUUCUAAUCUAACCACCUAAUUGCAUUUAAUUAAACCUAACUAACCCCUAAGCAUAAUUAGUAAACUAAGCAGGGAUUAGUGAGAUUAAUCACCGGAAUUAAGCGUAAAAUAUAUCAAUCCGACAAGGAUGACACGAGGAACGAUAAACCCCAAAGCACGGCUUGGGUUCGGAGCUCGGAGAAGACCCAAAAUGGCCCACGAACGUGCUGGAAACCCACCCUGUGGGUUGCUGGUUUGGUUGCAAAACAGAGGGGAAAUGAGAUGGUUGGGGGCUGAGAAGGGUCGAGAAGGCAGGUGGCGGUCCGGCGAGGCUGCACGGCGACUCCGGCGGCUUGCUCAGCCGCUCACGGUGGCUAGAACGAGGUCGGAUAGAGGCGGCAGGAGGCUGGACGGCGCUGGACUGGCGCGAAGAGAGAUGCACAACAGCUCGGCGGUUGUGGAGGACGCGUGAACGGCGGAACAGCAGUGGGCGGUGGAGCAGACGGCGGUCCGGCGAGCUACUCCGGUCUUCCUCUUCUCUCGGCGCUGCUGCUUCUGUUUUCUGCUUUUGUCUUUGUUCCAACGGUGAGCGGGAGAGAGAGUACCGAGAGAUAGAAGAAGAUAAGAGAGAGAGUGAAGUUUGAAAAGUCAAAAAGUAAAAAGGGAAAAAGAGAAGAAAAGUUGAAAUUGAUUAGGGGGUAGUUGGUGGAGGGGGAAAACGCACAAGGGAAAAAGAAAAGAGAGAGGAGGGAAAGAGAGAAAAAGAAAAAGGGGAAAGGGGGGUGAACGGUCCGAAUAGGGGGAAAGAAAGACAACGUGGGGGAAAGAGGAGAGAGAAUAGGGAGAGAGAGAAAUAAAAUAAAAUAAUAAUAUUAUUUUUCUUUUUCUUUUCUCUUUCCCUUUAUAUUUUCUUUUUGUCUUCAAUUUUUCCUCCGAUAAUUUUUUCCCGAAAUUUUGGACUCGUCAAUAAUUUGAUGGAUGAUGAGACAGAAUCCUAAAAAUGAAUUGUAAUAUGCUCGAAUAUUCGAUUCCCGAAACCAAAUUAAAUUUUAUGAUUAGAAUCAAUCGGACGCGAUUUUAGUCAAAUCCAACAAAUUAAGUAGCUUUUAGGGAUUUUACCGCGGAUACAUCCCUUAACGGCUUCACAUAAUAGGUUAGUUAACUCGUGAGUGAUUAGCUCAGAGAAAAAUGACCAUAAGCACGUCGACGAAAUACCCAUUUUACUUUAUCGAAACGGGAUCGAAUUUCAAGAUGUUACAUCUACAGCACUUAUCCCUUCUUUUUUACCAAACUUCACGGCAAGUUCAGUCCAUUAAUAGACUUCAAGAGCGAAACAAACAAAAUUUCUUUGAUGAAUUCACACCUGGAUCAACUCUUCAAAGGCAGUUUGUAGAGGCCAUUUAAUGAAGUCAGUUUAAGGAGUAAAACGCCACUGUAGCCCCCUUUUUCUUGAUCAACGUGUGCCUUCUUGCAGCACACUUUUCUUUGGCGGUUUGCAAACCGCCAUACUCUUGCUUUCACACACUUAGCCAAAAAAAAAAAAAACAAUUAAAAAAAGAAGAAGCUAAUUUCUUCCAAAAAACAAAAUCAAUUUUACUAUUUUCUAAUAGCCUCCCUUAGAGUUGAUUUUGUAAAACAACAACAUCAAGCAUUGUUUUCAAUUUCUCCAACAAAUCCGCAUUCAAUGAUUUUGUCAAAAUAUCUGCAAUUUAAUUUUUGGAUUUACAGAAAUCAAGUUCGAUCUCACCUUCUUUAAUCAGCUCACGAAUAUAAUGAUACUUGAUGUCAAUAUGUUUGCUUUUGCCAUGAAAUACAGGAUUCUUAGCUAAUGCAAUCGCCGACUUGUUAUCACACAUCAAUUUAGUAGGACCCUCUCUCUUAUUCAUGCAUUAGUUCAAAAAAACAUCCUACGAAGCCAUAUCGCUUGACAUGCUGUGAAGAUAUUGCAAUGUAUUCUACUUCAACUGUCGAGAGUGCAAUAACUUGUUUCCUUGAGGACCAAGAAAUUAUUCUUGAUCCAAGAAAGAACGCACAUCCGGAAGUACUCUUUCACAUUUCGGUAUCACUUGCCCAAUCACUGUCUAUAUACCCCAUUAAACUAAAAUUGUCAAUGUAAGAGUAUAAAAUUCAAUGAUCACGAGUUCCACUAACAUACCGUAAAAUUCUUUUUGCUGCUCGCAAAUGUGAUUGGUACAUUUUCUCCAUGAACCGACUAAUAAUUCCCACGCCAUAGUUAUAUUUGGCCUAGUGGAAGCCAAAUGUCUUAAACUGUCAACAAUACUUUUAAAAUAAGUGAGAUUUACCAAUUCACUAGCUCCCUCUUUCUUCAACUCCAACCGUUCUGUUAUGGGAGUUCGAAUUGAUUUGAGCGAUUCCAUAUUGAAUCGCUUCAAAAUAUCAUUAGCAUAUUUCUGUUGUGAAACAAAUAUGCCUUCAUUUGUCUACUUCACUUCAAGGCCCAGAAAAUAGGACAUUAAUCCCAAAUCUGUCAUCUCAAACUAACUAGUCAUGGCCUCCCUGAAUUCAGCAAACAUCUUCUCACAACUUCCUGUAAAUAUCAAAUCAUCAACAUAACGACAAUAAUUAUGAUAUCGCCGUUAGUAUUUGACUUGAUGUACAAUGUAUGCUGAUAAGGGCACUUUUGAAAGCCAUUCUCCAAUAGGUAAGUGUCAAUCCUCGUGUACCAAGCUCGAGGUGCCUAUUUUAGCCCAGACAACACUUCUCAGUUUAUAAACUUGAUUUCCAAGCCUUUUCUCACAUUACCUGUGGUUGCUCCACAUAUAUUUCUUCAUCGAGAAAACCAUUAAGAAAUGCUGAUUUCACAUCCAUUUGAUGGAUUUUCCAACAGUUCUGAGCUGCAAGUGCUCAAAUCAUCUGAAUGGUAUCCAUUUGAGCCACUGGUGCAAAUACUUCAAAAUAAUCAAUACUUGGCUUUUGCUUGUAGCCUUUCACAACUAGUCUGGCUUUGUAAUGGUCCACCUGACCAUCGUGUUUGUACACCCACUUGACACCUAUAAGCUUCUUACCAGGUGGUAAAGAAGUUAGCACCCAUGUGUCAUUCUUUUCAAUGGAGUGGAUUUCUUCAUCCAUUGCUUGGAUCCACUUUUCUUCUGCCGCUACAUCAUCAUAUGGGGUCACACUCUACAAAUAAACAAAAGUUUGCCAUUGUUUCAUCAGCGAUUUCGUCACUGUCAUUAUCAUCAUCUCUUGCAACCACAUAAUCCUUGAAUUUUACCGGUGUCUUCCGCGGUCAUUGUGAACGACAAAUUAACAGUUCUGUGGUCAUUGCUGGUGAAGAGGAUGAACUACUGGGUGAAAGUGAUGGAUCUUCAAUUGAAGAUUCUUCAGUCCCCCCCGCCAAUGGUUCAUCUUCAAUAAGGACAUCUUUCUGGUCAAUCUUUUGGUUCUAGUCCCAAGCUUCAUCUUCAAAAUACUUCGACAUCCCUACUAAUAAUUACCCUAUACCCUUAGUCACAUCACUAUAACCGAUGAAAAUGCAUUUCUCGCUUUUGUCUUCCAACUUUUUCCUCCAUUCGUCUAGUAUAUAGGGAUAUGCUACGCACCCAAAUACUUGUAAGAAUGAAACAUCUGGCUUGUUGCCACUCCAAGCCUCUUCUGGGGUUCUUCCAAGAACACUCCUUGUUGGACACUUGUUUAACACAAAUGCAGCACAAGCAACAGCUUCUGCCCAAAACUUCUUCGGUAAUGCUUUAGCCUUUAGCCUACUUCUUGCCAUUUCAAAAAUUGUUCUAUUCUUUCUUUUUGGUAUACCAUUUUGUUGAGGAGUAUAGCUAGCAGUAAAUUGACGUUUCACCCCAUGAAUUUUACAAUAAUUGUCAAAUUCAUGGAAGUAAGUUCUCCACCUCUAUCCGAUCUCAACGUCUUUAAAUUAAAGCCACUUUUUUUCUCAACAAAGACUUUGAAUUCUUUAAAUUUGCUAAAAGCUUUGAAUUUUUCUCUUAAAAAAUAUACCCACAUUUUUUUUGGUAAAAUCAUCGAUAAAAAUUAGCGUGUACCUUUUUUUUUGGGUAAAAGCGUGUACCUUUUUUGUCCAAUUGAUUCCACCUAACAAGGCCACAGAUGUCUAUAUGUACCAACUGCAAAGGUUGCUUGGCUCUUCUAGCUCUUCCAAUUGGGAAAGAUUCUUGAUGUUGUUUUCCAACAAGACAUCCUUCACAUGAGCAAUCUGGACUGUCGAUCAAGGGCACACCAGUCAUUAUCUUUUUUUGGACCAGUAAUUUCAGUUCACGAAAAUCUAGAUGACUAAACCAAAGAUGCCACAACCAUUUUCUGUCUUUUGUCACUACUUGGAAACUCAACAGAGUCUUUGUGACAUCCUAAAAUUCGAGCCCUCCGAGGGAUGAAUGAAUGUGAAUUUUGUCAAUGCAUUGUUGAUUGAUCUCACUCGGAAUUGAUCACUCCUAAGAUACUGACCUUGAGGGGCUAAUGAGGACAAAACUCGUACAACUAAAGAACUUGACCUGGAAAAACGACUUGACCGUGAGACUUGCGUGAGGACGAUCCUGUAGAUAGGCAGGCUGAUUUCAAGGACGACUAGAAGUUGAUUCGCGGACAGAACAUAAUGGAACAGCGGGUGAUUCCAUUUAUUGUUAUCAAACCCGCGAAUGAUCCUAAGUCGAUCCUCAGUAAUCAUGUACUUUGAAAUAAAAAUCUAUCCUCCGCAAUUUCAUGUAGUCAAUGACGUCCAUGUGUCGAGAUGUCUUGAACGUGGUUUGGCACGAGUCGAUUACGUGUGAAUCCUCAAAGCCACCUGUCAAUUUGAGUUGUACCCAAAAUGGCAUGAGAACUAAAGAUUGGACUUCGAAUUAUUAGGAACAUCUGGGAUGGACUUUGGAUGAAGCUACUUCGACGGUCGACAGUGUCAGUUAGGCCGGGUACUUGGAAAAUGGGUUUUCGAACUGAGGAAGCGAGCCCAUGAGGAUGUGGGUCGGGCCAAGCCAGUGUGGGCCGUAGGCCCAAGGUGGGACAGCUACCAUGGAAGGCCUAAGGCAAGCAAGUGAGCCCAUUAGGCCCAAACCAACUAUUCAUCUUCCAAGCCCAUGUCUAAGCCUUAAGCCCUUUCAAGCCCAAAUCAAUUCCCAAGCCCAUUCCUAUUCAUUUCCAAGCCCAUUUCUUAGGCCUACCCAUCAUUUUCAGCCCAAGGACAGAUUGGUAAUUUGUGCAAGGUGGAAAUGACCAUUUUGCCCCCAAAAGUGUGUGGAUAAAGGUAAAGGAAUAGAGAGAAUGUGAGGUCAUGUGCAUGGGGACUUGAAGCAAGCCUUCACCUCGAUGAGGCCUUGACAGCCAACUCCCAUCAAUCUCUCUCCCUCAUUCAGCUGAAAAAUUCGUAGCCCCUCUCCCCUUGUUUUUCCUUAUUUCUUACUUUUGCUCCAGCUAACCUUCCUCCAAAGAUCUGAGUUAAUUGUUGGCUUCUCAUGUGAAUCAGCUUUCGUACCACCCACCACUAUGCUCUAGAGACCUAGAUUGUCCGCUUGGACCUCGUUGUUUGCCGGUCGGAGCCACCGGCUGACUCGUCGGCUGACGAGAAGCCACUGUUCGUGGUACUGCCUGGAGCUGCACUACUUCGCCUAUUCAACUGUUUUCCUCCUGUUUCUUCCCAUUUCGACCAAGCCUCCACCUAUCCCAACUACCAGCAAGUCCCCCUUGAUCCCUAGGUGCCGCCGGUUGCCGCCCACCCCCUCACCGAAGUUCUGGCCAAGUCGUCCAACUUUUUUUCUCCUCUGUCAGUCCAGUUUUUGGGAGUUUCAGUGGGAGUCUGAGUUGUGGUUGCUGUUCUGAGUUUGGAACUGCCUUGGAUCGUCGUGAUAGAGGUUCUCAAGCAUAGCCUCCGUCGUCGCCACCACGUCCGUGUCUCUGGCCCGCUUAACAGGUAAGUUUAGGUCCUAAUCCUUUAAUUAGUGCCUAAACUUGCUUAGGGUUGAUUUAGUUAGAUUUAAUUCUAUUUUAGGUAAUUUAAUUAAGUUGUAUUAGUCCUAAGAUAGGUAGUUAGAUGGACGGAUUAGAUUAGUUUAGCUUAAUCUUGCUUUAUUUGCUUAAUGUGGCUUAUGUGCUUAAUUAAGUAUGUUUAGCUUUAAUUGAUUGAUUGUUUGAUUCAAUUAAUGUUUUGCUUAAUUUCUGUAGUUAUUUUAUCAUUUAUUAAAUUAUGGGAAUUUACUGUUCACGCGACACUAUUCACAAAAUUUUGUUCAUGUGCACUGUUCACGUUCACUGUUCAUCCAAAAUGCGAAUAGAUAUUUAAAUGCAUGGGCAUCCACAUGAAUCGAGCGAUUUGCACAAAAAGAGAAAAAUGGGUUGUCCGAGGGACACUGGAAGUGGACCGCUUUUAUGAGAAAAGGGAGUUGUAGUAGUGUUCUUGCGUGAUCCAAAGUUGAACCAUCACCUAACGGAAGUUGGGGGCGAUACCCGAUGGGAAUCGAAAGCCAGUCGCAGUAAAUUCUAGACCGAUGUCCCUUUUUGGGAAACUGUCUAAACGGGAGUUCUAGACGUAACUGUGCCUGACGAGGCGGGAUGAAGCCUGAUCUUUUUAUCGGUAGCUUGGUGGGAGUCGAAUGAGCGUUGACUGGGAAGUUAGCCAUGGCCGAGAGGUCAUUAACAACUGGGAAGUUGAUCAAAUUGCUGACUGGAAAGUUAGCCAUGGCCGAGAGGUCAUUAAUAAUUGGGAAGUUGAUUAGAUCGCUAACUGGAAAGUUAGUCGUACCGCUAAUAGGGAAGUUAGCCGUAUUGUCAACUGGGAGUUGACCGUGGCCAAUGGGGCGUAAGAAUUGGAAACACGUGUGAGUGUUGAGAUAAUUGUGCCUUAUUAUGGGUAAAAUUGUGUAGUGCGGUAUGGGAUGUGUCAUAACAAUUUUAUCUUAUAAUCGGGACCCAUGUGAUCAACCGAUGCAUGAUAUGUGGCGCACUAAUGUGUAAGAGCAUAUGAGAAUUAUGGCAUCAUUGGUUUUGACUGUGCAUGAGUUGAGCACAUUGUUUAUGACACGUACACAUGAAUCGAUAACGUGCAGGGUGUAGCAAUAGCCAAGUGGGAUCGUUUGUGACGCGACUCGUAUGUGAUUGAUGAACUGCAUCAUCUAAUGUCCAUGUGCAUUGCGUGUGUUGUGUUGUGAUUUAACGUGCAGGGUAUGGUAUACCAGGUAAGGUUGUAUGCGAACCGACUAUUGAUUAUUGGUUGUUAGUUGUUGCUUUGUUUGUGGGGUGGUUCUGAAGAGAUACCCCAAGUUGAGUUGGUGUCCUAAUUAGGGGACUAAGGGGAGGACUCGCUGAGAUUUAUAUCUCACUAGUUAUUGUAUAACCAUUUUCAAAUCUCUAAUGUGAAGAACCCGGAGCUUGAAGCGGAAGGGUUAGGAGCAUAGGUGGCUCAGUAGUUCUUCUUGAGAUCGACCUUCUAUAUAAGAACCUGAGGCGUUUAUAAAAGUGUAUUUGAUUUGAAAAUGAUAUCCUGCUUUUCUAUCCCAUAUUGGUGUUGUCUGGGGAUUUGAUUUUACGCUUCCACGUGUGCAAUUAAAAAGAAAGGGUCGGCGACGCGUCUUGGGAACGUCGCAUUUGUAUCGACCAUCAAGGGAUGCGCACGCACUCAAGGUUCAGGGCAUGACAGUCUUCGUUUGAAGGGAUAGAGGAAACAUUUGAUUCUUCGUCAUCUGUGUCGUCGUAAUCAACUUAUUGUUUACGCCUUUAAUGGUGCAAACUCCAUUUUUAAUGUUAAUUUUGUGGCCUUUUUCGAAUAGUUGCCCAAUACUUAGCAAAUUCCAAAAAAGUCCUGGCACAAAGUAAACGUCUGCAAUAGUAAUAUUAGUACCAUCUUUUGAUUUGAUAUCAAUGUUACCUUUGCCCAUCACAGGAAUUUAGGAUUUAUUCCCGAAGUUGACUUCACCAUGAACCGUCUCAUCUAACUACGAGAAUAGCUCCUAUUGACCACACAUGUGAUUACUACACCCGGUAUCAAGAUACCAAUUUUUUGUGUCCAUGGUAUUUGAGUCAUCCAUUUUGCAUGUUAAUACCAUGUUUUCGUUUGCAUCGAUGGUGUGCACACAUUUUGGCUGCUCGUGCCCCAUGUUUGCUCGACAUUUGAAUUUGUAAUGUCCAAAUUUGUUACAAUUAAAACACUUGACUUUUGAUUUGUCGCGUGUUUUAUAUCUUCUAGUGGAGUUCAGAUUUCCACCUUUACCUCAGGCACUUCCAUGACCUCGACCACCAUGACGACCUCCUUGAUUUGAGUGAGUGACCCGACUCUGCAGUGCUUGCUCAUGAUUCAAACUAAUGCACUUCCGGUUCAUCCUUUGCUCAUGUGAGCAUAAUGAACCCAUCAACCGCUCAAACGUUAUGGUUGAUAUAUCUUAGCAUUCUUCAGUCGCCGCAACAAUAUAGUCAAACCUUUCAAUCAAAGACCUCAAGAUUUUCUUUACAACUCGUACAUCUUGGAGUUCUUCACCAUUAACCCUUAAUUGGUUAACGAUGGUUUGUACACAAUCAAAGUAAGCUGCAAUAGAUUCAGAGUCAUUCAUGCGUAAAGACUCAAAAUCUCCUUGAAGUGUUUGGAGCCAUACCCGCCUAAUACGACCAUUGCCUUUGUAGGAUUUUUGCAAUAUAUCCCACGCUACUUUCGCGGUAUCUGCGCUCGAUAUUUUUUCAAAUAUUGAUUCAUCUACGGCAUGAACGAUAGCAUACAAUGCUUUCUGAUCUUUCUUUCAAGAUUCAACGAACGAUUUGUUCUCCUUCUUUCUCAAAGCAUUGAAUUCUUUAGCAUCAGCUCCUUCGAUGUAGCUAUUCUCCACCAAGUUCCACAAAUCUUUCGAUGUAGCUAUUCUCCACCAAGUUCCACAAAUCUUGGGACUUGAAUAGAACCUUCACCUAGACGAACUAAUUGUUGAAAUUCUUUUCGUUCAACUUCGGAAGUUGCAAUUGAACGGAACUGGUGGAAGCCAUUGCUAGCUCUAGUACCAAUUGUUGGAACCAAAAGAAUAGACGAGCUUUGAAGGAUUUGGUAAAGAGAGAGUGCAAAUGUGACAUCCUGGAUUUUCAGUUUUGUUUUCAAUUGAAUAAAUCAGGCCUUUCAUCGACACACCUAUAGUGCUAUUCUCAGAGCUGAUUACUCUUGAGAUAACUAGACUAUUUGGGGAAAUUAUUAAGAGAUUUUAAUGCAAUAGACUUAAAUAUUCGACUAGGAAUCGGCUACUCGACCAUGCUCAUCUACAAAGAUCAUUACGACACAGUUAAAAAUUAAUUAGAGAUUAGAGAUAGGUUGGUUCGACUGAGAUGUGUGAUUUAAACGUAGGUGAUUCCACUAAAUUGCAAAAUUCUCAUCGAUUAGCACUAGAUUGACUUUUCUAUCAUUUUGAUGCCCUAUGCCCGUAUUUGAAACCUCGAGAUUUUCACGACCACCGAGAGUCACCAUUGUAUCAAAGAGGUUCAUUGUGGCUCGAAGAAAAUCGACCACGGGUUAUUUGCACUAAAAAUUUCUGAAAGCUACCCGAUAGCUUAGGUCACGCUAAAAUCGCGCCAGAUUUGAAAUUAACCAAGAAUUUGAAUUCGAUUUCAAAAAUUAAAAGUCUCGCCAUGUCACAAGUCAUUUUAAAAAUGCCGACUUAGUCUCCGAAGAUUUUUCUACAAACCGAGAUUUUUUGGGAAAAAGUCGAGAUAGGGUCGUUUUUGUCCAGAAAAUUUUGAGGACCGUAUUUCAUCAUGAAAUUGGGAUGCAAAUGGGAUCAAUUGGUGAGGACAAAUACUAAUUUGAUCGAAGACUCGAUAAUGGAAUUUUUAGAAGCCAAAUUGAGUAGAUUCAAGGAGGAUUUGGUGUCCAAUUGAAGCAAAAUCAAGUGAAAUUCGUGUGCCCCCAUGGACCCAACCUUUUGGACCACUUCAAGCUUCUAGAAAAGGACACUUUUGGUCUGGAAAUUGGCUGAGCAAGCCAGCUAGUUGUGGGGAACAAUUUUGGGGAACAAAGAGAUAAGAAGAGAAGACCAAGUGGUCUUCCCUCAAGCAACUUGUCUCCUUCAUUCUCCCUCCCCUCUCCCCCUUCUUCUUGCUGCUUUGAGCUCAACUAACUGAGGAACCAAACCAGCAAAUGCUGAGCAGCCCUAUCGAAGCCACCGUGCACCACCGCCGUCCGCUUGCUCGCACCAAGCCUCCCCCGCAAUCACCUUGCUUGCACGCGCCUCUAGCUGCUCGUUCUGCCCUUGCUUGUAGCCGUUUGAAGUCACCAGGUAGUCGUACAUCACCAGCAUGGACGCUUGAGCUGCCGUUAGCCAUCGGAGCCAUCCGCUUGAGCUGAUGCACCAUCGCCGUUCAUCCUCGCCUCAACCAGUCGACCGACCUCUCUCUCUUAGCCAAGAUCAGUCCAGCCACAGAAGCUGAAGCUAGUGGGCAUUUCCAACCGUUGUUGGCCCAUUUUCAAGCCGUUCUCGACCCUGAAAGUCGGUCCCGCUUUGGAUUUUCUCGUCCCUCACCGCGUCCCCGUCAUUUUGAUUCGAACGGAUCAUUAAUUAAGUGAGUUUAACUCACUAAUCAUUGCUUAGUAAGUUAAUGACGCUUAAUGGUUGAUUAGUUUAGGCUAAGUAUGUAUUAGGUGAAUAGUUAGAUUAGAUUAGCAAUUUAAUUAAUUGUUAUUGCAUGUUAGGUGAUUAUAAUAGUGUAAUUAGAGCCUAGACAAGCUCUAGUAUUUAUCUAGAGUGGUUUGGAAUUUUUCGAGCCCGUCUCAGCUUUUAAUUAGGCUUUGCGGGCCUAAGUUUGCAAUUUUGAUAUUUAAUAAUUAAUUUCCAUAAUUAUUUAAUUAUUUAUUUAUUUUCGAAAAUUAGAUUGGAAUAGCCGGUAACCGGAAUUUUAUACUGAUUGCAAUGGUGUGAUAUGUUUAUUUAAUUGAGUUCUAAAUUGUAUUGAUUGUGUGUGAUUUGUGAUUUUGGGAAUUUAUUCCUAAAUUUAUUUAAUUUUAGUAAUUAAUUGGAAAAUCACCGGGCGUCAAUUUACAACACUAUGGAUUUAUGGAUUGUUGAAAUUGGUGGGAUUUUCAAGUGGUAGAAAAUUAUAUUUUUGGCUAGAGCCGACCAUAUAUUCACACACAAUUAUUUUUAUCGGGUAUGAUAAAAAUGACGAUUUGAUCAGAUAAUCAAAAUCAUUAUUAUUUUCAGUAUACUAUGAAAGUAUAUCUGAUAGCUUCUGGUGAGCAUAAUUUUCAAUAUACUAUGACAGUAUAUCUGACAGCUUUUGGCGAGCAUUAUUAUUAUCAGUGUACUAUGAAAGUAUAUUUGGCAGCUUCUUGCGAUCAUAUAUAUAGUUUAUUAUAUCAGUAUUUGAGGUAGCUUUUGGUGAGCUAUACUAUCUAUUAUCAGUUUGAAGUAAGCAAUCCUGGAUUAUGAUCGGACUUUAUAGAUAGUAUUGAUUGAGAUGACCGGGGAAUGGUCUUGAUGACAUGUAAUCGAUUGAGUUGAUUGAUCGAUGAUUCGAUCUAGUUGGGUAAAGUGGUUUGUGAAAUGAUGAUUGGAUGGUUAUUUAAAUUAUACUAACUUCCAGGAAUGACUAGAGGCCAAGGUAAGUCCUCUGACUCGUUAUUGUGCUUAGGCAGCCCUUUUGGCGUAUUUUCUUCCUAGUCGGGUCUUAGAGAGUUGAACUUGCUGAAACGUUGUCUUACGCCAUUGUAGGAUAGUAUUUUUAGGUCCCUAGUUGACAGCGGUGGAGGACCCUAGAACCGAAGUUUAGAAGGUGAAGCCCGAAGAAUCGGUGAACUUGUCCAACUAGUUAGUUUUAGGAUAAUUCUCUUUUGUUGAAAGUCGAUUCCCUUUUAUAGGCUUUUGUGUAUAAACCUAUGUGUUUAUAAAAAGGUAUUUUGUGAAAAAUUGGCCAUACUUUUCUAUCACAUCUUGUUGUUGUCUAAGGAUUUAUUUAUUUGUUUCUGCAUGCGUAUUGAAAUGAAUGGGUCGGCGAUGUGUCAUGAGACAUCGCUAUUAUAUCGACCAAGCAAGGAUGGGCAUGUGCUCGGAGGAUCGGGACGUGACAGCAAACACACAAAGAAAGAUUAUAGUACUCAAAAUGCCUUGCGAAGGCUUAAUAUGGAGUACGCACAAGCUUUGCUAAGGUUAAAACUAUCUCUCGAUUUCUCUAUAAGCUACUAAAGCUCUUUCAACUCUCUCUCUAAAAAAUAAACUAACAUAACCCUUUAUAUUUAUAAGCAUCUUCCACCGUUUGGACUUCAACAUGCAAGAAGUGAAGCUAGAUUUUUCCUCUUGAUUUUUGCCGUCUUCAGUGUGGGAGUUGCCGACUUUAAUGUGAAAGUGUCAAUUGCAACUUUUCCUUAACGUUCAAGUUAGCAAGUUGAGCUUUGAUUUCCUUUCUUGUUUUGACUGACUUGUUCCUGCUUCUUGAAGACUCCACUAGCUACUAUAAUAUUAUUAUAAUGAGUGCCCCUUCAUUUUGACCAAACUUCACGGCAAGUUCAGUCCAUUAAUUGACCUCAAGAGGGAAACAAACAAAAUUGCUUUGAUGAAUUCACACCUGGAUCAACUCUUCGAAGGCGGUCUGUAGAGGCCAUUUAAUGAAGUCGGUUUAAGGAGUAAAACGCCACUGCAGCCCCCUUUUUCUUGAUCAACGUGUGCCAUCUUGCAGCACACUUUUCUUUGGCGGUUUGCAAACCGCUAUACUCUUGCUUUCAUACAUUUAGCCAAAAAACAAUUAAAAGACAAAAAAGUUAAUUUCUUCAAAAAAUAAAAUCAAUUUACUAUUUUCUAAUAGCCUCCCUUAAAGUUGAUUUUGUAAAACAACGACAUCAAGCAUUGUCUUCAAUUUCUCGAACAAAUUCGUCUUCAAUGGUUUUGUCAAAAUAUCUGCAAUCUGAUCUUCGGAUUUACAGAAAUCAAGUUCGAUCUCACCUUCUUUAAUCAGCUCACGAAUAUAGUGAUACUUGAUGUUGAUAUGUUUGCUUAUGCCACGAAAUACAGGAUUCUUAGCUAAUGCAAUCGCUGACUUGUUAUCACACAGCAAUUUAGUAAGACCCUCUUGUUCAUGCAUUAGUUCAAAAAGCAUCCUACGAAGCCAUAUCGCUUGACAUUCUGCUGAAGAUACUGCAAUGCAAUGUAUUCUGCUUUAGCUGUCGAGAGUGAAAUAACUUGUUGUUUCUUUGAGGACCAAGAAAUUAUUCCUAAUCCAAGAAAGAAUGCAUAUCUGGAAGUACAGCAGUAGAAUCAAAAUAAAGCAUGUAGUAGAGUGGCUAAGUUGUCUGACAAGUCUGUCGAAAACUGCAGUGAGAAGAUAGUAGCAAUUGCUAUUUUUGGUAAAACUGUAGAAGUCCCAAUAAAGAACCUGUUUGGGAAUUACCUUUCUAGACAAUAGCUCAAUGGAGUCUCUCCAAUGAUCAUCUACUUCUCUAAAUUAUUCUUGAUGGAUAGAUUGGAAAUAGUAUAAAAGAGAAAACCAUGAAAAACCAAAAGAGAGUGCAGCACAUAAAAAGAUCAAGUAGCUUACGUAUUGUUGUUCUUAGCUAAAAGCUAUUUGUCUUACUAUUUUGACUAUCAUGCUGUUUAGCAAUUGUGCUAAGGAUCAAGUGCAUAAGUGUAAGAGCAAUAACUGAGUCCAAAUAAUGUGAUCUAUUAUGUAAGCAAUAACUGAGUCCAUAUAAUGUGAUCUAUUGUGUAAAGGAUCAGUGCUUGCCGUUUGUAACUUUCUAAGCAAAUUGUUGAUGGAAUCCAACUCGUCUUGAGGCUAUUAGUCUAAAGAGUGGACAUAAGCUUGAGGAUAAAGUCGAACCACUGUAAAUUUCCGUGUCUCACUAUUUUUCUUCUUCUUAUAUACAUUGGAUACAGUGAAUGAGUAUUUACAUAAAAAUCAGGUUAAGGUGAUUUUUACUUAGCAAUUAGCUUAUUUCCGCAAAAGAUCAUCAAAGUUUGAAAAUAACCUAUUCAUCCCUCUCUAGAUUGUGUUGUUAGCCUCACCAAUUAACAUUAUAGCUUUGUAGCUCAUUAUUUGAAGUGCAUUUCUUUUUAGCACAAAGAUCCUUUCUUAUGGCUAACCUUGAUAGCUUUUUUGCAAAUGAUGCUCAAGCUCCCAACAAGCUGCCAUACUUCAAUGGGAGCAACUAUGGCUAUUGGAAGCAAAGAAUGAAGUCAUACAUUAAAGCUACAGCUCUGGAUAUGUGGGAUGUAAUUGCAAAUGGUCCAAAAGUACCAACUCCUAUUUGACAAGAGGGUCAAGAAGCAACAACGGUCGAUAAUACAAAAGAAGCUCGAAAAAGAGUCACUCUUAAUGCUAAAGAUAAACACAUUCUGUAUUGUGCACUGUCACCUUUUGAGUUUAACAUAAUCUUUUCUUGUGAUACAACAAAAGAAAUAUGGGAUCGCAUCAUGCUGACAUUUGAAGGAACAGAAAGAGUCAAAGAAGCAAACCUGAACAUCCUACUUAGGAAGUAUAAUCUGUUUAAGAUGAAGUAUGACGAAACGGUAACACAAAUGUUCACAUGAUUCACUGAGAUAGUGAAUGAGCUAGCUCUUCAAGGAAAAAUAUAUACAAAUGCUGAGAAAGUAAACAAAUUACUACGAGCCAUUCCCAAAGAAUGAAGUAUCAUGAAGACCUCACUACACGAAACCAUAAGGAUUCAACCAAUCACGAUGGACAAACUUAUAAGAAUAUUCAUGUCUGUUGACACCUAAAUUUUUGCAUAAAAAAUAGGUUAAUUUUUACCCCAAAAAAAUAAAUAAAAAUUGCAUGACAUAUAGUUUAGACACAUUUAUCUUAUUUUGUUUUAUUUUAUUUUAUUUUAUUUUAUUAGACCGACGGUGAGCGUGAAAUUUUUUACAUAUUCCAUUGAGAUUUUUCACACAAGUAAUAUAAACUAAGGGACAUAUUUUCGAGCAAAAAGGAAAUUUUCAAAUGGAAUAUUUGACAGAUAUAAAAGAGAAUAUCGCGAGUGGUGCAACAAUAUAUUCAGAGGAUUAUGCACAAGCAAAAUUGGAAAUAAAAUGUCACAAAUGUCUAAAUUUUUCUCCUAUAAAAGGUACUGUUCGUGUACGGAUACAGGGGAUUGGGGGGAGAAAAUUCGAAAAAAAUUUGGAGAGAAAAACGUGAGGGGGCUUUUUCCUUCGGUUGAUUGGAGUUGAAAAUUCAAAAAAAGAAGAAGAAAGAAUUCGUUUGUUUGUUUAUAAAUAAAAUAAAAUAAAAAGUCAGCAAAAGUGUGCAGAAAAAAGGAAGAGAGAGAUGGGACAAGAGAGAGUGAUGUGAGAGAGACGUGGGAGUAAAAAAAAAAGUAAAAACAGGGAAGACUGUUCAUCUUCCUCGCAGGCGCCUCAGCCGCUGUCGCCGAUCCCUUCCGCCUGUGCCGGCCCGCGACCUGCAGCCGCCGCGCUCCGCUCGCCGCCUCAGCCGAGCCGCCGACCACCACCGCUCGCUACUCACACCGCCGCUGUCCCGAUCUGCCCGCUCGAGCGCCCCUAGGCCGGCAGAUCUGAGCUGCUCGCCACUCCACCGCCGCGCUAGCUCCCGCACCGGCCCGCGCCUCCUCUGCUGCUCGUGCCGCGCCACCACCAGGGUUCCUCUCGCUCGCAAGCUCGCACCGCCACCCCGUUGUGCCGAUCCGCGACGACUCGACGCUCCGCUGCUACUGCUGUACCUUCGCCGGCCACGAGCACCACCAUCUUCGCCCUCGCGCCGGUCACCGCACCAGCACCGCCGUUCGUUGCCCUUGUUGCAGGCGCGACGACUCGACGCCGCCUCUGCUCAGUCACCCCUUCACCCGCCCCUGCUGCAGCACCAGUCGCUGCAACCUGACGUCGCAGCUCCUGUCCGACCCACGACGCCACUUCUGCUCCUCCUCCGCCCUCAGCCUCGUCGCGUCGCUGCAGCCCUGCAGCAGCCCGAGUCCAGCGCCCAGCUUCGCCGCUGCUGCCCUCCUUCCGAACGACAGCACCACAGCAGCACGCUUCCUCCCGUCGCGCGCCUGCUGCCGCCCCUCGCCGGAGCUCCGAACGCCGGCGACCCAACCCCAGGUGACCCAGCGAAGCUGCCAAGUCGUGGGUGAAAAAGCGAGAAAAGAAAAAAAAAGGGAAAAAGAUUAGGUAGUUUUUUUAUUUUACUUUAUCUUACCUUUUUCUUUAUUAUUUUAUUUUACUUUACUUUAUUUUUUUAGUAUAAUUAUUCCUUAAUGUAAAAUUGAGAAUUCCCGACAUAAAAUUGCCUCUGGAAUUUGGGAUUGAAAAUCCGAUUUUCGUGUCCGAAAUUCGACUCGCAAUAACUUGAAAAAUCACCAAUCCAAUCUCACGCCUGAAAUUCGAUUCGCGAUUUAUUUAAAAUUGGCCAAUCCGAUAUUAUGCGCAAAAUAUGGUUCGUCAAUUUGGACAUUAAUAUUGUCUUGCUCUGAUUUGCUACCAUGUCGUUUAAGUUGAUUUUGUUUUCGUAAAAAAAAAAAAUGUGAGUUAGAUUAGGUUUAUUUCUUGUUUUAGGGUUUGCAUAUUUAGAAUAGGAAUUUUAUUUCGAAUUUCAAAAAAAUAAAAAUUAAAAAAUCAAAUCAAUCAAUUUAGGUUGCUAGUUUUUUAACUUAGGUUGCAUGUUUAAUUAUUGGACAAUUUUUAAUUUCGGAAUUAAUAAAAAAAAAUCAUAUUGCAUAUGUCAUGUAGAAUUAGGGCAUCUUUUUGUACAUUAUUGCAUAUUAGGAUAAAAUUACAUGUUUCAUUUUAAGUUUAAAUUGAUUUUUUAGAUAGACUACAUCUUAGGUUAGAGAUUGCUAAGUUAAGAUAAUAUCUUAGUUUAAAUUAGGGUUUAGCCUGACCUAAUCCUUAAUAUAAAUUGGAUAGAAUCUUAAUCUAGCUAGAUAAUUUUUACAUAUUUUGAAUUUCGAAUUUCAUUAAAAAAAAUGCAAAAAAUGUCUUAGAAUAAAUUAGUUUCAAUUCAUAGGAUAGAUUGCAUUCUUUUUUUUUAAAAAAAAUAAUAAUAAAAAAUGUCAUCACAUGUCAUAUAGAAUUAGAUUUAGUGAUUAUUGCUAGGUCCACCUAAUUAGAAAUUGUCUAUCAUUAGAAUUAAGUCGUUUAAUUAUAUUGCAUUGUAUAAAGCAUGAUUCUCAUUAAUUAAGUGAAAAAAAAAGAAAUUGCGUGUUAAUUAAAAAUAAUAUCUAAGGUUGUUGAUAUGAAUUCUAAUCUAACAAGGUAAGUCCUGUAAUUUAUUCAUUACAUUCUUGGGUAUUAAAUUGGUGGUUUGCACACCUGUAUGAUCACCUCAAUGUUAGGGAAAUAGAUUUAAAAUUAAUCCAAACUGCCUGCAAAAACAUUUUUGAAAAAAAAA